GGGGUUAUAGUUAAAAAAUAACUUUUAAUUUGCAAUUAAAAAUUAUCGUUAUAGAUUAUCCUCA
This 64-nucleotide transfer RNA is filed under the name Rhagovelia reitteri. RNAcentral describes it as "tRNA-Ala". The record is from RNAcentral. Lineage: Eukaryota; Metazoa; Arthropoda; Insecta; Hemiptera; Veliidae.